UCCUAUGCUACUCGAGUAUAUAAAAGAGUAAGGUAAAGUGCCAGCAUGCAUUAAAAAAAAACCAACUAACAACAACAUAAGAAAGUGCAAGUCUGUGACUGCAAGACUGUAAAAGCAGUCCUUUAAAGCCCCCCUAUGUAGUGUACUCACAAGCUGUAGGGGAAGAAGGUGGUGGUGAAUACAAUUGUUCAGUGUAUAGAACGCUAGUGAAAGCCCAAUCAUGCAGAGAGAAAGAUUUUAUGGACAUUAUAAUUAUUAAGGGACUUUAGCCCAUUCAUCAAAACUUUUUAUUUAUUUAUUUUGAAAACUUGGGUGUUGUAU
RNAcentral lists this long non-coding RNA (321 nucleotides) under Pelobates cultripes (western spadefoot toad). The record is from RNAcentral. Lineage: Eukaryota; Metazoa; Chordata; Amphibia; Anura; Pelobatidae.